UUUGACAUUGCACAUAGCCUA
RNAcentral lists this non-coding RNA (21 nucleotides) under Arabidopsis thaliana (thale cress). The record is from RNAcentral. Lineage: Eukaryota; Viridiplantae; Streptophyta; Magnoliopsida; Brassicales; Brassicaceae.